This 78-nucleotide transfer RNA is filed under the name Bacteroidetes bacterium QS_9_68_14. RNAcentral's name for it is "tRNA-Glu". It matches the Rfam family "tRNA". Rfam says of the family: Transfer RNA (tRNA) molecules are approximately 80 nucleotides in length. Their secondary structure includes four short double-helical elements and three loops (D, anti-codon, and T loops). Further hydrogen bonds mediate the characteristic L-shaped molecular structure. tRNAs have two regions of fundamental functional importance: the anti-codon, which is responsible for specific mRNA codon recognition, and the 3' end, to which the tRNAs corresponding amino acid is attached (by aminoacyl-tRNA synthetases). tRNAs cope with the degeneracy of the genetic code in two manners: having more than one tRNA (with a specific anti-codon) for a particular amino acid; and 'wobble' base-pairing, i.e. permitting non-standard base-pairing at the 3rd anti-codon position. Lineage: Bacteria; Pseudomonadati; Bacteroidota. The record is from RNAcentral.
GCGGCCUUCGUCUAGUCUGGUCUAGGACGCCAGCUUUUCAUGCUGGUAACACGGGUUCGAAUCCCGUAGGCCGUGCCG